GUGUUGUAUGAAAGUCAGCUCUCCCCUUGACAAGGGUGGAAGAGGCCCUAGGGCCUGACAACAUGCAUACAGUUAAGGCAUUGCCACCUACUUCGUGGCAUCUAACCAUCGUUUUUU
Small nuclear RNA from Dipodomys ordii (Ord's kangaroo rat), 117 nucleotides. Lineage: Eukaryota; Metazoa; Chordata; Mammalia; Rodentia; Heteromyidae. The record is from Ensembl.